CCCUUAGAUGUUCUGGGCCGCACGCGCGCUACACUGACGGAUUCAACGAGCUUACAACCUUGGCCGAAAGGUCUGGGUAAUCUCCAAAAUCCGUCGUGAUGGGGAUAGAUUAUUGCAAUUAUUAAUCUUCAACGAGGAAUGCCUAGUAAGCGCAAGUCAUCAGCUUGCGUUGAUUACGUCCCUGCCCUUUGUACACACCGCCCGUCGCUCCUACCGAUUGAAUGGUCCGGUGAGGCGUUUGGACUAUGGUUUUCUGAUGGUCCGCCGUUGGAUUACCGUGGGAAGUUCGUUAAACCUUAUCAUUUAGAGGAAGGAGAAGUCGUAACA
RNAcentral lists this ribosomal RNA (327 nucleotides) under uncultured eukaryote. RNAcentral's name for it is "partial 18S ribosomal RNA". It matches the Rfam family "Eukaryotic small subunit ribosomal RNA", at positions 1470 to 1796 of the family's 1831-position model. The record is from RNAcentral.